Molecule: non-coding RNA, 226 nt
Filed under: Thermacetogenium phaeum
Lineage: Bacteria; Bacillati; Bacillota; Clostridia; Thermoanaerobacterales; Thermoanaerobacteraceae
Description: T-box sequence
Rfam family: T-box leader
About the family: Uncharged tRNA acts as the effector for transcription antitermination of genes in the T-box leader family. T-boxes are found upstream of many aminoacyl-tRNA synthetase genes and some amino acid biosynthetic genes usually in Gram-positive bacteria.
Source: RNAcentral
UUAAAGACGGUGAACGAGAAGAGUAGGUACAGGGCGAAGCCCCAGAGAGGAACCGUCACCGGCUGGAAGCGGUUCCGGCAGAGCGGUACCGAAAGUGCGCUCGGGAGUCGCGGUGCCGAAUUAAAGUAGGCAUCGACGGGAGGGAACCGUUAGCAUUCCCAGGCAGAGGGGUGUUGUUUUGCCCGAAGCAGAGUGGAACCACGGAAGAAAUCCUUUCGUCUCUGAA